This 496-nucleotide ribosomal RNA is filed under the name uncultured bacterium. Its description in RNAcentral is "partial 16S ribosomal RNA". It matches the Rfam family "Bacterial small subunit ribosomal RNA", at positions 28 to 506 of the family's 1533-position model. The record is from RNAcentral.
GAUGAACGCUGGCGGCGUGCCUAAUACAUGCAAGUCGAGCGAACGGACGAGAAGCUUGCUUCUCUGAUGUUAGCGGCGGACGGGUGAGUAACACGUGGAUAACCUACCUAUAAGACUGGGAUAACUUCGGGAAACCGGAGCUAAUACCGGAUAAUAUUUUGAACCGCAUGGUUCAAAAGUGAAAGACGGUCUUGCUGUCACUUAUAGAUGGAUCCGCGCUGCAUUAGCUAGUUGGUAAGGUAACGGCUUACCAAGGCAACGAUGCAUAGCCGACCUGAGAGGGGGAACGGCCACACUGAAACUGAGACACGGUCCAGACUCCUACGGGAGGCAGCAGUAGGGAAUCUUCCGCAAUGGGCGGAAGCCUGACGGAGCAACGCCGCGGGAGUGAUGAGGGUCUUCGGAUCGUAAAACUCUGUUAUUAGGGAAGAACAUAUGUGUAAGUAACUGUGCACAUCUUGACGGUACCUAAUCAGAAAGCCACGGCUAACUACGU